RNAcentral lists this ribosomal RNA (433 nucleotides) under uncultured bacterium. RNAcentral describes it as "partial 16S ribosomal RNA". It matches the Rfam family "Bacterial small subunit ribosomal RNA", at positions 29 to 507 of the family's 1533-position model. The record is from RNAcentral.
AACGAACGCUGGCGGCAUGCCUAACACAUGCAAGUCGAACGAUGCUUUCGGGCAUAGUGGCGCACGGGUGCGUAACGCGUGGGAAUCUGCCCUUGGGUUCGGAAUAACAGUGAGAAAUUGCUGCUAAUACCGGAUGAUGUCUUCGGACCAAAGAUUUAUCGCCCAGGGAUGAGCCCGCGUAGGAUUAGCUAGUUGGUGGGGUAAUGGCCUACCAAGGCGACGAUCCUUAGCUGGUCUGAGAGGAUGAUCCGCCACACUGGGACUGAGACACGGCCCAGACUCCUACGGGGAGCAGCAGUGGGGAAUAUUGGACAAUGGGCGCAAGCCUGAUCCAGCAAUGCCGCGUGAGUGAUGAAGGCCUUAGGGUUGUAAAGCUCUUUUACCCGGGAUGAUAAUGACAGUACCGGGAGAAUAAGCGCCGGCUAACUCCGUG